Clavulina sp. PMI_390 is the source of this 75-nucleotide non-coding RNA. The record is from the annotation of a GenBank genome assembly. NCBI's taxonomy places the organism in Eukaryota, Fungi, Basidiomycota, Agaricomycetes, Cantharellales, Hydnaceae.
GUGCCAGUAGUUAAGCGGUUAACAUUCUUUUGAAUUUAUCAAAGUCUGACGUCCGUUCGACUCGGACCUGGUACA